RNAcentral lists this ribosomal RNA (620 nucleotides) under Enterococcus hirae. Its description in RNAcentral is "bacterial SSU rRNA". It matches the Rfam family "Bacterial small subunit ribosomal RNA", at positions 68 to 658 of the family's 1533-position model. The record is from RNAcentral. Lineage: Bacteria; Bacillati; Bacillota; Bacilli; Lactobacillales; Enterococcaceae.
GCUUCUUUUUCCACCGGAGCUUGCUCCACCGGAAAAAGAGGAGUGGCGAACGGGUGAGUAACACGUGGGUAACCUGCCCAUCAGAAGGGGAUAACACUUGGAAACAGGUGCUAAUACCGUAUAACAAUCGAAACCGCAUGGUUUUGAUUUGAAAGGCGCUUUCGGGUGUCGCUGAUGGAUGGACCCGCGGUGCAUUAGCUAGUUGGUGAGGUAACGGCUCACCAAGGCGACGAUGCAUAGCCGACCUGAGAGGGUGAUCGGCCACAUUGGGACUGAGACACGGCCCAAACUCCUACGGGAGGCAGCAGUAGGGAAUCUUCGGCAAUGGACGAAAGUCUGACCGAGCAACGCCGCGUGAGUGAAGAAGGUUUUCGGAUCGUAAAACUCUGUUGUUAGAGAAGAACAAGGAUGAGAGUAACUGUUCAUCCCUUGACGGUAUCUAACCAGAAAGCCACGGCUAACUACGUGCCAGCAGCCGCGGUAAUACGUAGGUGGCAAGCGUUGUCCGGAUUUAUUGGGCGUAAAGCGAGCGCAGGCGGUUUCUUAAGUCUGAUGUGAAAGCCCCCGGCUCAACCGGGGAGGGUCAUUGGAAAACUGGGAGACUUGAGUGCAGAAGAGGA